RNAcentral lists this long non-coding RNA (291 nucleotides) under Ricinus communis (castor bean). RNAcentral describes it as "long non-coding RNA (RCOM_LNC003355)". The record is from RNAcentral. Lineage: Eukaryota; Viridiplantae; Streptophyta; Magnoliopsida; Malpighiales; Euphorbiaceae.
GAAAAUUAAACACACCUCUGGACAGAACAGCUAGUAGGAUUUUAAAUUCUCAGGUUAAUCAGGAAAAGAGAAAUCAUCAAAAUGUGCACAGAAAUUGAAAGAGCACCUUACCUUUCUCUACAUUGUCUGAUUGAGUCUCAUUUUGCUGCUGUUUCUGCUGGUUUCUAAAUUUUUCGAGAAUGGCUUGCCUGAGCUUUCUGCUUUCCUCUUUGACCCUAUCAAGAUCCUCCUCUUGUUCGGCAAGUUUUAGUGCAAUCCUCUCUUCAAAAUCAUCCUGUGCAUCUUCAUCUC